GAUCAUGGCUCAGAGCGAACGCUGGCGGCAGGCUUAACACAUGCAAGUCGAGCGGGCCCUUCGGGGUCAGCGGCGGACGGGUUAGUAACGCGUGGGAACGUGCCUUCUGGUUCGGAAUAACCCUGGGAAACUAGGGCUAAUACCGGAUACGCCCUUUUGGGGAAAGGUUUACUGCCGGAAGAUCGGCCCGCGUCUGAUUAGCUCGUUGGUGGGGUAACGGCCUACCAAGGCGACGAUCAGUAGCUGGUCUGAGAGGAUGAUCAG
This 264-nucleotide ribosomal RNA is filed under the name uncultured bacterium. Its description in RNAcentral is "partial 16S ribosomal RNA". It matches the Rfam family "Bacterial small subunit ribosomal RNA", at positions 15 to 307 of the family's 1533-position model. The record is from RNAcentral.